CCUACGGGAGGCAGCAGUGAGGAAUAUUGGACAAUGGGCGCAAGCCUGAUCCAGCCAUGCCGCGUGCAGGAUGACGGUCCUAUGGAUUGUAAACUGCUUUUGCACAGGAAGAAACAACAUUACGUGUAAUGUCUUGACGGUACUGUGAGAAUAAGGAUCGGCUAACUCCGUGCCAGCAGCCGCGGUAAUACGGAGGAUCCAAGCGUUAUCCGGAAUCAUUGGGUUUAAAGGGUCCGUAGGCGGUUUAGUAAGUCAGUGGUGAAAGCCCAUCGCUCAACGGUGGAACGGCCAUUGAUACUGCUAAACUUGAAUUAUUAGGAAGUAACUAGAAUAUGUAGUGUAGCGGUGAAAUGCUUAGAGAUUACAUGGAAUACCAAUUGCGAAGGCAGGUUACUACUAAUGGAUUGACGCUGAUGGACGAAAGCGUGGGUAGCGAACAGGAUUAGAUACCCUGGUAGUCCACGCCGUAAACGAUGGAUACUAGCUGUUGGAAGCAAUUUCAGUGGCUAAGCGAAAGUGAUAAGUAUCCCACCUGGGGAGUACGUUCGCAAGAAUGAAACUUAGAAAGUAGUAGCGNGAGAGAGACGACGACGACGACGAGGAGGAGGAG
This 610-nucleotide ribosomal RNA is filed under the name uncultured bacterium. Its description in RNAcentral is "bacterial SSU rRNA". It matches the Rfam family "Bacterial small subunit ribosomal RNA", at positions 338 to 949 of the family's 1533-position model. The record is from RNAcentral.